RNAcentral lists this long non-coding RNA (430 nucleotides) under Phoenix dactylifera (date palm). Its description in RNAcentral is "long non-coding RNA (PDAC_LNC020651)". The record is from RNAcentral. Lineage: Eukaryota; Viridiplantae; Streptophyta; Magnoliopsida; Arecales; Arecaceae.
UUGAAGUAGAAGAUGAAAGCCACAUUGGUGAGCCAUGCGGUUAGAUAUAAUCAGAUGUUACAUAUUAAAAUCAAGUGAUCGGAAGUGCUAGCUUGUGUAUUGAGUUGUUAAAAAUUUGAUAGUUUAAAUAAUAAAAAAAAUGAAUAUUUUAUGCAUAAGGUAGGCACUUUCAAAUUAUAUGAUUUUUUGAUGUGUAAGAGGUUCAAAAAUAGUAAAUCACAUCCAACAAUUUAGAUCACUACAGUAAAAUCUUAUCCAAUUCAAAAUAAACAUAUAACUUUAUAAAUAUUACAUCAUAUGUGUGCAUGUGUGUCUACACACAUACAUAAAUAUAUAUAUACAUACAUAUGUAAAUGGAUAUAACACAGUUCAUCAGUUGUUUUCUACGGGCUUCAUUUUAUUUUUUUGAUCGUAUUCUAAUGAGGUUACG